This 255-nucleotide ribosomal RNA is filed under the name uncultured bacterium. Its description in RNAcentral is "partial 16S ribosomal RNA". It matches the Rfam family "Bacterial small subunit ribosomal RNA", at positions 524 to 776 of the family's 1533-position model. The record is from RNAcentral.
UACGUAGGUGGCAAGCGUUGUCCGGAUUUAUUGGGUUUAAAGGGUGCGUAGGCGGCCCCUGUAAGUCAGUGCUGAAAUACCCCGGCUUAACCGGGGGGGGUGGCAUUGAUACUGCAGGGCUUGAGUACAGAUGAGGUAGGCGGAAUUGACGGUGUAGCGGUGAAAUGCAUAGAUAUCGUCAAGAACACCGAUAGCGAAGGCAGCUUACUGGGCUGUAACUGACGCUGAUGCACGAAAGUGUGGGGAUCAAACAGG